AAACCCAAAACCCAUUUUCCUCUCUCUCUCAGUCUCUCUCCCAAAGCUCUGUCUGAAAAUUCUCCAUUAAUGGCUUCCAACAAAGAAAACCCCACCAACGAAGAUGAACAGUCAACUCUGGAGGAGUUAAGUUCCAUGGUCAAGAGUGGCUCAAUUCUCGACCGAGAUGGUUUCAUACAACACGCCUCCGACAAAGAACUGGCAGAGAAAAUUAUGCAGAGGUUCAGCGACUGUGGGCUGAUGAAAUUUCUCACCCACGACUACCUGACUGUCCACAAGAUUGAUUCCACAGAAUGGUUUAUGAAUGCUCGGAUUGUAGGAGAAGAAAUCCACUCGAAGGUUCAAGAUAUGGAGACCGUGACCGCCAUGGGAGAUAUUAGGGCGGCAUUCGACUUCGCAAUCCCUAAAGGAGCUCAUCCUGACCUCUCCCAAUACACCUACAACCAGCAAAAAUUCUGGGAAGAAAUAAAAUCUGAGAAAGCCCCUGCUAAUCUCAAGCUCUCAUUUAAGAAGAAAAUCCUCAUUCCAGAGUAUGAACGAGCCAUGGAUAUACUGAUCAGGAUUCUGUUGAACAAAGUGGCCGGGACUGACGAUGUUACAGCUUAUAUGCUAGCCACUCUGAGCGCAAUUAUGACGAAUUACUCCCUCGAUUGGCCCCAGAUUAUCUUCAACCAUCUCAGAGCGUAUGUGGAGAAGGCAGUAGAUAGUGAUUCAAAAUCAUUGAGUCAAAAGGUUGGUUAUGGCUUCCUUGUACAGUAUUUAUUGAGCCUUAAGGGCAUUAAGCGUAGGCCUGGGGUCCCAGUCCAUAGAAAUGCAUAUUUGUGUAGGACCAAACCCCCCACCCCUAAAGGCCAAGCUGCCACCCCUCCUAAAGCUAAGGGUAAGAAGAAAAAGGUUGUAGCUCAUGAGAGCUCCUCUAAUGUCCCUAUAGCUACUGUGUUGAAAAAGAUUGAGUCUUUAAAGAGUAAGAAAUCUUUUAAGGAUGUUGAGGUGGAGAGUAGACCUGCCAAGAAGGCUAAGGCUGCUAAGAAUGAGGGGGAAAAUGCUGACAUGGAUGAUGAGAUAGUAGCUCGGAUCGAGUUAGGUGGAGACUCUGAUAGUGUAGAUGAGGGGCUGCUAGAAGAGUACAUGAGAGUGAAAAACUGGAUUCAAUGGAGGAUGGGUGAUAUUGAUACCCUACAGGCUGGAUUGAAUCACAUGAGGGCUGAGGAGGAGUUCUCUUUGAGAUGGCUCAACAUCUCUAAACUUUCAGAUGGCACACUAUUGAGCCUCACCGAAGAAGCAUACAGCAGGAAAAUGAGUGAAAACGAGGCUGCAAAGGGUAAAUCAAAAGCUACUGAGGAAGAGGUGCAGAGUCGAAAUCCUCAGGAGGCAGAGAAGGCACAGUUGAAGGAGUUGAGAAGGACCCUGCAGCAUUCCAUAUUUGAGCAGGAGAUGGGAGGUCCAGGUUCUACCUCGGGUGCAGGACAGAGAAGUGAACCUCGAGAGGUGACUCCCGAAGGUGAUCUUCCAGAAAGUGAGACGCAAGUCCCUCUGGAAGGUGCCCCUCUGAAAAGUGAAGAACAGAUUACUCCGGAAAGUGCCAGCCCGAGCAGUCAAUCCCCGGAAGGUCAAUCUGUUGCUCAGAUUAGACAAAGUACUGGAGAAAGGCUGCCUACUCAACUAGAAGGUGUGGACUUUGCUGAUGACUCUCCAGCCACUUCUCCAGACCCUAUGGCUCGUGUUGAAGCUGAGAAUGAGAAGAAGGGUGCCUACACUGUGGAAGAUGAGGAAGCCCAUGCCUCUAGUGGAAACAGGGAAGCACCAGACAUGGAAACUAACUCUGAUUCUGAGUUUUUGCAGGUACCCAGGCCCUCUCCAGCUACUAGAAGUGAUCCCCUCUUAGCCCAGAUCCAGAAAUUAAUUGCAGAUCAAAGGGUGUUUCUGGCUAAGAUGACUGAGGCAGCCACUGAAACCAGGAGUACUAAACACUUGGUGCUGACCCAGGGGAGAAGACUUGAUGAUAUGAGCAGCAGGCAGACUGAUGUGGUGGAAACCUUGCGUUGGGCUGAGGACAUGCUGAACAAUACGUGGGGUCUUGUUGGUGAAAUGGCGAACAGAGCUGCGUUCCUCCAGGAGCAGAACGAUGUGAUUCAACAAAAGCUCAACAAGGUUGAUCAGAAAGUCGAAGACAUCUAUGGCAAAGUGGACAGCCUUCCCCAGCAGAUGGAUGUUUUAACUGAAGGCCUUAUUCUCCUCCACGAGAAGUUUAAUGAUGCCAAAAAGGGGGAAGAUAGGGCAAGGGAAGGACUCCAAUUUGUUGACUUCGCGGACAUCCCUCCUCUCCCAAAUGAAGCUUAUAGUCUACAAAAUCUGCCUCCCAAGUGUAAAAACUGGGAUCAAAACAAAAAGCUGCAAUAUAUAAAGAUGAAAAAUGAGGAAAGAAAGAAGAGGAAAAGACAGGAGGCCGAGAAGGAAUAAGAAGAAAGGCAGAAAAGAAGAAGGGUUGAAGAGGAAGAAAGGAAGAAGAAAAGAAAUGAAAUUCUGUCCAAGUACACUGAAGGUACGAAGGGCCUUGAUGAUCAAAAGCUAGGGAUCCACAUCUUCCAAAUCAUCAAGGAAACCGGAGUAUCCUUGAAGGAUGGAAUGUCUCCCUUGGAGUGAAUAAACUGAUGGAAGAUUAUUUGCAAUCAACAUUGUAAUAAGGCAAGGCAAUGCAUCUUGGAUUAUGCAUUGAAAUCCUCUUUAUUUUCUGGACUUCAACAAGCGAGCUACACUGUUACGAGAAUUAAAUGAAGUCAACAAAGAACAUGAUCGAGGAGCCACUGGAAAGUAGAAAGGAGAAGAAGGGAAAUGAUGUAGAAGCUAAGGUGGAACGAACACUCGGUAAAAGCAUGCAAUGGUUUCUGUUUCUCAAGUAGCAGCAGCAAUUAUAUUGCACGAAAGAUCGAUCAAUACUGGAAGGAAAGAUGAGAAAGCUGCAGGAGUGGGCCAGUUUCUAUAUCCCAACGGAAACAAAUAAUUAAAAUGAAGACAAGAUGAGAGAGGAAUUGUUAGCUAGCUGAGGAAAGCUAAGGGAUUACAAGCUAAGCGCAGACGAAUGUGAUAUCGUGGCAAGAAAGUGAAGCGAUCGACUACCCGGGCAGGCCAGGUUAUGAGGGAUAUAAUAGAGAGAGGAAUACAUGGAGGAUAUUAGGCAAGCUAAGCUAAGCAGGUGGAGUUGAUUGCUUAACAAAUUAAAAGGAUAAGAGGCACAAGCUUCGAUCUAGAUGACUCGAGCACUCGAGAUAGAUAGAUCUCAUAUAUCACUCUCGUGGAACUGUAGUUGCAGAUACUACAAGUACGUGUUGGGAAAAAUAUAAUGGGCGUAGCAAGCGGGAUUAUAUAUAUUAAUUGUUCUAGAAGUCCAGACAGGCUACAAAGCAUGCAGUACCUAUACAAAUACAAGCUAAGCAAACGGAGGAAGCAUGAUGAUCGAGAAGCAGCGUAUAAAGAAGAUUUUUCUCACAGCUCCAGUACAAAACAUUCACCAAAAAUCACACCAUCGUAAGAGUCCUAGCUCACAGAGAGAGACAGAAUUGAGCUAGCGUAAUUUAGAUCCGUCCUCGAUCUCAGCUUCUUUCUGCUUUAAUUUGCGCAUGCAAUGAGUUCGAGGACGGAUAUAAUCCUUCAGAAUCUCAUCAUAUCUACUAACCAAGAUAACGUCUAACUGUCAUGGUAAGUUGGGUGGAUAUAUAUGAGAUCAUUUGGUGUUAUGAUGAGAGUUGAGACUGACUGGUUUCCACAAAAAUUAAAGUUAAGAUUAAGAUUGUUAAAGUCUUACUGGUUCUUCCUCUAGGCUCUAGUGGGGUAAGUAAUUAUAUAUAAUUCUCCUGAAUUGAAUACCUCUUUUUAUCCUUCUUUUUCAUUUUUUCUUUCUCUUAAAAACUCGCAGUAGAAGUGAAACAAACAGCUUUCGAUCUGCAGUUUCACCUACAUCUGUAUCCUUAAAAUGAUUAUUCUAUUAUUCCACUUAAUCUCUAUUUCCAUCU
Ipomoea nil (Japanese morning glory) is the source of this 4010-nucleotide RNA transcript. RefSeq lists it as uncharacterized. The record is from RefSeq and is a predicted model, not a curated record. NCBI's taxonomy places the organism in Eukaryota, Viridiplantae, Streptophyta, Magnoliopsida, Solanales, Convolvulaceae. The transcript is spliced from 4 exons.